This 434-nucleotide ribosomal RNA is filed under the name uncultured bacterium. Its description in RNAcentral is "bacterial SSU rRNA". It matches the Rfam family "Bacterial small subunit ribosomal RNA", at positions 958 to 1392 of the family's 1533-position model. The record is from RNAcentral.
AACGCGAAGAACCUUACCUGGCCUUGACAUGCAGAGAACUUUCCAGAGAUGGAUUGGUGCCUUCGGGAACUCUGACACAGGUGCUGCAUGGCUGUCGUCAGCUCGUGUCGUGAGGUGUUGGGUUAAGUCCCGUAACGAGCGCAACCCUUGUCCUUAGUUACCAGCACCUCGGGUGGGCACUCUAAGGAGACUGCCGGUGACAAACCGGAGGAAGGUGGGGAUGACGUCAAGUCAUCAUGGCCCUUACGGCCAGGGCUACACACGUGCUACAAUGGUCGGUACAAAGGGUUGCCAAGCCGCGAGGUGGAGCUAAUCCCAUAAAACCGAUCGUAGUCCGGAUCGCAGUCUGCAACUCGACUGCGUGAAGUCGGAAUCGCUAGUAAUCGUGAAUCAGAAUGUCACGGUGAAUACGUUCCCGGGUCUUGUACACACCG